UGUAAGUUGCCUACGUAUCAUGUCCCUCAUGAAUCAGAUCAGGCGUAGUUCUUGAAAAAAGUAAUGGUAAAAUAAAAACCUUUUUGAAUUUUCAUUUAUAAAAUUUUUUCGGUUUUCUGAUACAUUAUAAGAAGUAUGAUAACAAAAGACUAGACAAACUCUUAAGCCACUUAAUAGACUCAAAACAUGCGCAAAAUAUAAAAAGACUCCUCAAUUAGCUCCAAAAUGCAGUGGACCUGAGAUAUCCGUGAUGCUCGAGCAGUGGCAAAUGAACCCAUACCUGAAGGAGAAAAGUAAGACCAAACUGAUUAAAUGACUCGAGACACCAUGUGAGACUGCACCUCAUAUAGAAAAUAUGUAUGACAAGAUUGGGCUAUUUUUGAAAAUUAACCUAUAUGCCUGAGAGUGGCUAUUAACGCAAACCCAACGCAAUUGACCUCAGUGGCAUGGAAAAUGACUCACUAAGACUUUUAUGGAUUCAAACUCCCAAUAUCAUGCCCCCCCCCCCAAAAAAAAAAANNNNNNNNNNNNNNNNNNNNNNNNNNNNNNNNNNNNNNNNNNNNNNNNNNNNNNNNNNNNNNNNNNNNNNNNNNNNNNNNNCCCCCCCCAAAAAAAAAAAUUAAUUUGUAGAAAUAACCCAUUUCGCAAAAACGACCAAUAUGGCCAGAAGUGCCUAAAGAUGCAGACUCAAAAAGAACGAGCCUUAAAGUAAUAUGACACCUACUUGUAAACUCAAAAUUCUAAGACAUGGGUAAUUGAACCACUUUUGCAAAAUGACACUAUUUUGCAAGAAUAGCCGAUGUGGCCAAAAGUGGCUAGACAUGCAAGAUUUGGCUAAGACUCCGCAAAGUCAAGAACCUAAGACACUAGGAAGACCAGACCCUAUGUGGGUUGCCUACGUAUCUCGCUCGAAUGGACGAUAAUCAGGUUCGCGUAGUUCGGGAAGAUUAAAUAUAUGAUAGAAUUUAAAAAAUGCAUCUAAUUUGAAAUAAAAACUAUUUUUGGUCUUUUUUGAAAAAAUGAUGGAAAGUGCAAAAUCUUUUUGGAUUUUUUCAUUUUCUACUUUCUUUGAGUUUUUGGAUAAUAAUGGAAAAGAAUAAAAUUUUUUGGAUUCUCAUUUUCUACUUGUUGAAUUUUUUAAAAUUAAUGAAAAAGUGUAAAAUCUUUUUUGGAUUUUUCAUUUUCUACUUUUUUUGAAUUUUUAAAAAAUAAUGGAAAAGUGUAAAAUCUUUUGGAUUUUUUCAUUUUCUACUUUUUUUGAGUUUUUGGAAAAUAAUGGAAAAGUAUAAAAUGAUUUUUGGAUUUUUCAUUUUCUACUUUUUUUUUUUGAAUUUUUGAAAAAUAAUUGAAGAGUGUAAAAUCUUUUUGGAUUUUCUCACUUUCAUCAUUUUUUUUAAUUUUUGGGAAACCAUAUGCGGGUGGGUCCUACUUUCUUCAUUUUUACCCUUCUUUCCCAAAAAUUGGUCCGCCAAAUGACCUUUUUACCCUCAAAGAUGCAACAUUUAGCACAUAGGAUGAUUAAAUGUCAUUUUGGGUCACAGACCCAUUUUAACAAAAUUUGGACAGGUUCCUUACAAAGGGACACAGUACCUGGGACCGAGUACUACUAGGUGUGAAUGACAUGUUGCGAAUAAAAUGACCUAAAGGUUGACAUAAGUCUGGGGUUCACUAACAAGGCAAUUCGGGUGGCACGUGGUCGAUGGUGGCUGGUCUAGCUGUCCGCCCACUCCACGCUCCCACGCCACCCCUCUAAAGACACGGGUGACUCACAAAAAGGCCGUGUACGCUCAAACGUACUCCGGAAGACUAGUUGCAGAAAUAAGACUCAUGGUUAUGCAAAAUGAUGACAAUUUAUAAAGCACUAACACAUAAAGGAAAAACUGUAAGCAAAUAAGCAGCUAGCAAAUAAUAAAAAGACAUGAAUAAAAUAAAAAUCAAAUAAAACAAACAAAACACAUAAAAACAUCAACCAAAAAUCCUAAAGGCCAACAAGAUCAAGUACUAGCUCGAACCGGCAAUUCCCCCAGCAUAGUCGCCAGAGAUGUCGUACCCUAUUUUUAAAACAAAGUCUCACAAAAACCCUCUUAAAUUAAUAAAAGAAUUUAAUAAAAGCUUGAAAAGGGUUUUUCAUUGAGAACGUGACAAAAAUUUGUUUCAAAAGGAAAUAAACUCAGAGUCGCCACCUGACAUUUGAUUUCGGGGAGAAGGUGUUAAGCACUCCCCAAGUCCCGUGAAGGUCACAGUUGCAUACUCGAUCAAGUUGGCUUUUAAGAUAUUCAAAUUGAGGUAAAAGCACACAAAAAGAAAAUAAACAGUCAAAAGAGGCUCGAGGGCACCAGAGAUUGGGGUAAGGGGCUCAUUUGACUCGCGGAGAAGGUGUUAAGCACUCCCCAAGUCCCGUGAAGGUCACAGUUGCAUACUCGAUCAAGUUGGCUUUUAAGAUAUUCAAAUUGAGGUAAAAGCACACAAAAGGAAUAUAAACAGUCAAAAGAGGCUCGAGGUCGUCCCCACCUAACAAAACGAAAAUAAAAUACUAUUCUAUGCUUCCUCGAACCGUUCCGUCUUCGGCUUUCAAAUAUAAAUACUUUGGGGCAAUACCCCAGAUAAAAUAUAUACAAAUCCUUCGGGGCAUUCCCCGAAUAAAUUUAACUAAGGAACGACCUCUCGCUUGAAACUAACAAAAAUCCUAAAACUUGCUUACCCAAGUAUUGACGGCCUAAAUAUGCUCCUAACGAAUAAUAUGACAAAGUAAAAUAGUUUCUAGAAAAAACUAACGCAUGUAAACAAUUAUUUAUUUUGUCUCUUUCCCAUCCCUACGGCCCAAUAUCAUUCACAACAAUUUUUAAACUGUCCACACAAAACAAACAACUAGACAAAAACAUCUAAAGCACACUAAGAUAAAGAACAAUAACAGUGUAGCAUAAUUGAUAAGUAGAUAAAAAAUAUGAUGUUGGCUCAUUGGAUAAAAAUACUCUUAGAAAGAAGAUUUCAUAAUGAAAAUGAAUGGUUCAAACUUGCCAAAACGUUUUCUGGAAUCUCAAACAAGAGACCAAGAGUAAAUAAAAAUUUGACGGAACAGGAUUAAAAAAUAAUUGGACUAAACUUAACUAAAAAUUAACCCAACAGCUUCGUUGGUGUUUCAGCAAAGAUAGUAAGACUAAUAGGAAUGAGCCAACAUCAUAUUUUGAAAUCACACAUAACUAGAGUUAUAACAAGAGAAGGAAAAGAUUAUGGACCUUAUAUAAAUCUUUCAAUUGAUGAAAAUUUUCAGCAAAUUGCAACAGACAGGACAGCGCAGCUACAAGCAAAAUCCAAAACUGCAAUCAAAAUCGAACGGAAUUACGAGCCACCUUCGACUCGGCAUCUCAGCUCUAAUGAAGAUGACGUUGCCUGUUUUGGAUAUCGACAGUGCACAUGACCACGAUCGGAGAACACUCGUUGGUCACUUCAACGGAAAAUUCUAACUUCAGUCAAGCUACCCUAAGUUCUCGCCUCAAUUUCUGUUCGAACCCCCCAUUUCGUUUAUCCUUUUUAGCUGCUGGUGGUUGACAUUUGGUGGUGUGAAGUGGAGAAAUAGCAGUGGCUAUUAUGUGUGUGUGCGGGGUGGCGUCAGGAAGAGGACAGGUGGAGGUUGUUUUGGUUGGUGAAGGUUUAGGGUCGCUGGUUAUUGUGUGUUCGACGUGAGUGCUGGUCGUUUUUGUGUGGGUGACGGCGGCUCUCUAGGUUAUGAGUGUGUAUUGUCUUAGAAGAAGACUAGGUUUUUAAUACUUCUCAAGAUAAAAAUCUGAUGGGUUCAUAGGUUUUUUGGCUUGGGUCACAGGUCUAUAGGCUACUUGGGCUAAGGGGGUUUGGGUU
RNAcentral lists this long non-coding RNA (3855 nucleotides) under Nicotiana benthamiana. Its description in RNAcentral is "long non-coding RNA (NBEN_LNC007591)". Lineage: Eukaryota; Viridiplantae; Streptophyta; Magnoliopsida; Solanales; Solanaceae. The record is from RNAcentral.